This 460-nucleotide ribosomal RNA is filed under the name uncultured Streptococcus sp. RNAcentral describes it as "bacterial SSU rRNA". It matches the Rfam family "Bacterial small subunit ribosomal RNA", at positions 920 to 1382 of the family's 1533-position model. The record is from RNAcentral. Lineage: Bacteria; Bacillati; Bacillota; Bacilli; Lactobacillales; Streptococcaceae.
CCCGCACAAGCGGUGGAGCAUGUGGUUUAAUCGAAGCAACGCGAAGAACCUUACCAGGUCUUGACAUCCCGAUGCUAUUUCUAGAGAUAGAAAGUUACUUCGGUACAUCGGUGACAGGUGGUGCAUGGUUGUCGUCAGCUCGUGUCGUGAGAUGUUGGGUUAAGUCCCGCAACGAGCGCAACCCCUAUUGUUAGUUGCCAUCAUUCAGUUGGGCACUCUAGCGAGACUGCCGGUAAUAAACCGGAGGAAGGUGGGGAUGACGUCAAAUCAUCAUGCCCCUUAUGACCUGGGCUACACACGUGCUACAAUGGCCGGUACAGACGGACGCAAAGCCGCGAGGUGGAGCAAAUCCUAAAAAGCCGGUCUCAGUUCGGAUUGCAGGCUGCAAUUCGCCUGCAUGAAGUCGGAAUCGCUAGUAAUCGCAGGUCAGCAUACUGCGGUGAAUACGUUCCCGGGCCUU